RNAcentral lists this long non-coding RNA (1026 nucleotides) under Phasianus colchicus (ring-necked pheasant). RNAcentral's name for it is "lncRNA (ENSPCLG00000008170.1)". The record is from RNAcentral. Lineage: Eukaryota; Metazoa; Chordata; Aves; Galliformes; Phasianidae.
GCAGGCCGCGCGUCCUGCCCGAGCCCCCGCUGCACGCGCCAUCCCCACAGCGCCCGCGCCGCGCGCGAGAGCCGCACGGGCAGCGCAGCAGCGCCCUUCGCCGCGAGCGCCGCCAUCUUGCUCGCGCCCCGCCCCGUCCCGCCCCGCCCCGCCCCGCCGCCGACGCGGGCGCCGCAUCGCUCCUGAGGCACGCCGGGAAAUGGAGUGCGCGGUCUUUCCGAGCGCCGCUUCCCGUGCCGAGAAUCUGCCUCGGUCAGAAAGCCGCUCCCAGUGCGUUCGUGUGAGCGCUGCUCGUGGAGCGGGGAGCCAGAACUGAGGUGGAGGUGCGAGUUGGCGUUCCUGUCGGAGCCGGGGCGUCGGGCGGGAAUGGCUCGGAGCAGGGCUGCGGGCGGCAGGUGUCCGCUCGGCUGCGACGCGGAGCGGCAGAGCGCGGAGCUGAGCGCGCGUUGUGCGUUCCCGCCCAGUCAGCCAGGAGGCGGCGGGCGGCGCCUGGCAGAAGGAGUAAUGUGGGGUGAUCUACCCAAAAUGAAGAGCGUCCCGUGACUCUCUCUGAUAAUCCGGCGUUUAUGGGAUGACAGAUUUUCCGUGCGACCCGUAAAUUGGAACAAGUCCAAAGGACGCCACGGGUGCUGUUGCCUGAGGAGCGGCACUGCGCGGUGCAUCCUUCUCAGGUUAUUGAGCUGAAUGAAGUCACAGAGGGGUCUAAUGAAUGCCAGAGCCUCUGAGGAGAAAAGAAUGGAAGCUGAAUCUUCUCAUUUCAUUAGCAGCAAGUCUCCAGAUGGUGUCAUGGUGUUUCAGUUUUCAACGUUGCUCCCUGUGUGGCCGCAGAACAGCAGGUGGCAGUGUGGGGCUUUGGGUCAAGCAUAAGAAUGAGCAGCAAAUGCAUGAAAGAAUCUACGUCUUUGAAAAAUAUUUGUAAAAUUUUUGUCCUUUUAUUAUGAAAAUAAUUAAAAAGUGUAAAUGUUCGAUGUUUACACUCUGAAAGAAUUUCAUACUUUCUUUUUCCUGCAUAGUGAUUAAAUGGAG